RNAcentral lists this ribosomal RNA (635 nucleotides) under Tolypothrix sp. LCRNK23. RNAcentral's name for it is "bacterial SSU rRNA". It matches the Rfam family "Bacterial small subunit ribosomal RNA", at positions 68 to 835 of the family's 1533-position model. The record is from RNAcentral. Lineage: Bacteria; Bacillati; Cyanobacteriota; Cyanophyceae; Nostocales; Tolypothrichaceae.
GUGANGGGGCCUUAUACCCCCCUGUUCGCAGCCCAGGGGUGAGAUACGGGCUGAUUAGCUAGUAGGUGCGGUAAGAGCGCACCUAGGCGACGAUCAGUAGCUGGUCUGAGAGGACGAUCAGCCACACUGGGACUGAGACACGGCCCAGACUCCUACGGGAGGCAGCAGUGGGGAAUUUUCCGCAAUGGGCGAAAGCCUGACGGAGCAAUACCGCGUGAGGGAGGAAGGCUCUUGGGUUGUAAACCUCUUUUCUCAAGGAAGAAUAAAAUGACGGUACUUGAGGAAUAAGCAUCGGCUAACUCCGUGCCAGCAGCCGCGGUAAUACGGAGGAUGCAAGCGUUAUCCGGAAUGAUUGGGCGUAAAGCGUCCCCAGGUGGCAAUGAAAGUCUGCUGUUAAAAAGUGAGGCUCAACCUCAUAAAACCGGUGGAAACUACAUAGCUAGAGUACGUUCGGGGCAAAGGGAAUUCCUGGUGUAGCGGUGAAAUGCUUAAAGAUCAGGAAGAACACCGGUGGCGAAAGCGCUCUGCUAGGCCUGUACUGACACUGAGGGACCAAAGCUAGGGGAGCGAAUGGGAUUAGAUACCCCACUAGUCAUGGCGGACUACUGAGUAUCUCUUGAUCAUUAUUCGUUCCC